AAAAUAAUUAAUUAAACAACAACCUAAUAAUAAACUUUAUUAAAAUUAAUUUAAAUUAUAAUUUAAAUAUAUUU
RNAcentral lists this transfer RNA (74 nucleotides) under Aclerda takahashii. Its description in RNAcentral is "tRNA-Asn". Lineage: Eukaryota; Metazoa; Arthropoda; Insecta; Hemiptera; Aclerdidae. The record is from RNAcentral.